CAGCAGCCACGGGAAAACGGAGGGUGCGAGCGUUAAUCGGAAUAACUGGGCGUAAAGGGCACGCAGGCGGUUAUUUAAGUGAGGUGUGAAAGCCCCGGGCUUAACCUGGGAAUUGCAUUUCAGACUGGGUAACUAGAGUACUUUAGGGAGGGGUAGAAUUCCACGUGUAGCGGUGAAAUGCGUAGAGAUGUGGAGGAAUACCGAAGGCGAAGGCAGCCCCUUGGGAAUGUACUGACGCUCAUGUGCGAAAGCGUGGGGAGCAAACAGGAUUAGAUACCCCAGUAGUCCCUGUCUCUUAUAC
RNAcentral lists this ribosomal RNA (301 nucleotides) under uncultured bacterium. RNAcentral describes it as "partial 16S ribosomal RNA". It matches the Rfam family "Bacterial small subunit ribosomal RNA", at positions 509 to 807 of the family's 1533-position model. The record is from RNAcentral.